This 253-nucleotide ribosomal RNA is filed under the name uncultured bacterium. Its description in RNAcentral is "partial 16S ribosomal RNA". It matches the Rfam family "Bacterial small subunit ribosomal RNA", at positions 524 to 776 of the family's 1533-position model. The record is from RNAcentral.
UACGCAGGGGGCUAGCGUUGCUCGGAAUUACUGGGCGUAAAGCGCACGUAGGCGGCUUUCUAAGUCGGGGGUGAAAUCCUGGAGCUCAACUCCAGAACUGCCUUCGAUACUGGAAAGCUCGAGUCCGGGAGAGGUGAGUGGAACUGCGAGUGUAGAGGUGAAAUUCGUAGAUAUUCGCAAGAACACCAGUGGCGAAGGCGGCUCACUGGCCCGGUACUGACGCUGAGGUGCGAAAGCGUGGGGAGCAAACAGG